RNAcentral lists this ribosomal RNA (1331 nucleotides) under Thaumalea sp. ZK-2019. RNAcentral's name for it is "16S ribosomal RNA". The stretch from base 1080 to 1239 matches the Rfam family "Archaeal large subunit ribosomal RNA", at positions 2544 to 2703 of the family's 2987-position model. The record is from RNAcentral. Lineage: Eukaryota; Metazoa; Arthropoda; Insecta; Diptera; Thaumaleidae.
UUAUAAUUUAUUUAUUAAUAAAUAAAAGUUUAUUAUUUUUUUUAAUAAAAAUAAUUUUGUUAAUGUUAAGUUUAAGUAUUGUAUAAAGAAUAAAUAAUUUUAAUAAUAGUUGAUUAAGUAUUGUAAAAGAAUAUUGAAAUAAUUUGAAAAAUUUUUAUAAAAAAAGAAAAUUUUAUUUAUUGUACCUUGUGUAUCAGGGUUAAUUAAUUAAUUAAUAAUUAUAGUUAUUUAUCUCGAAUUUAAAAGAUUUAAUAAAUUAUUUUAGUUAAUGUAGAAUAAUUAUUAAUAAUAAUUUAUUAGAAAUGAAACGUUAUUCGUUUUUAAAUAUAUCUAGUUUUUUACGAAAUAAAUUAAAUUUAGUCAGUUAAAUUUUUUCUUUUUAUUGAUUAAAUAAGUAUGUAUUUAACUGAUAAUAUUUUAAGGGUUUAGCUUUAAAAUAAAUUUUUAUAAAUAAUAAUAAAAAAAUUAAUUGUAGGCUUAGAAUUAGCCAUCAUUGAUAAAUGUGUUAUAAUUUAUUUUUUAAAAAAAUUAUUUUGUGAUAUUUUAAUUUUUUUAGUAAAAUAUAAGUUUAAAUUAAAUAAACUUAGUAAUUAUGAUUAAAUUAGUAAAUUUAAAGUUUGUAAAGUAUUAUGGAUGUUUGGUUUAUUUAAGGAAUUCGGCAAAUUUAAAUACUUACCUGUUUAACAAAAACAUGUCUUUUUGUAUUUAAUUUAAAGUCUAGUCUGCCCACUGAGGAAUUAAAGGGCCGCGGUAUUUUGACCGUGCAAAGGUAGCAUAAUCAUUAGUCUUUUAAUUGAAGGCUGGCAUGAAUGGCUGAAUAAAGUAUAAGCUGUCUUAUUUAAAUUAACAAUCGAAUUUUAUUUUUUAGUUAAAAAGCUAAAAUGUGGUUAAAGGACGAGAAGACCCUAUAAAGCUUUAUAGUUAAGGGUAUAUUAAUUAUAAAGAAUUUUUAAAUUUUUAUAGUUUUAAUUAUUUUAUUGGGGUGAUAUUAAAAUUUAAAUAACUUUUAUUGUUUAUUUACAUUUAUUUAUGAAUUUAUUGAUCCAGUUUUAUUGAUUAAAAAUUUAAGUUACUUUAGGGAUAACAGCGUAAUUUUUUUUGAGAGUUCUUAUCGAUAAAAAAGAUUGCGACCUCGAUGUUGGAUUAAGAUUAAUUUUAGGUGUAGAAGCUUAAAGUUUUGAGUCUGUUCGACUUUUAAUUUCUUACAUGAUCUGAGUUCAAACCGGUUUAAGCCAGGUUGGUUUCUAUCCUUAAUUAAAUAAAGUUAUUUUAGUACGAAAGGACCAAAUAAUUGAAAUAUUAAUUUUUUUUAUUUUGAAUAUAAUUAAUGA